Molecule: transfer RNA, 73 nt
Filed under: Phytophthora infestans T30-4
Lineage: Eukaryota; Oomycota; Peronosporomycetes; Peronosporales; Peronosporaceae
Rfam family: tRNA
About the family: Transfer RNA (tRNA) molecules are approximately 80 nucleotides in length. Their secondary structure includes four short double-helical elements and three loops (D, anti-codon, and T loops).
Source: Rfam by way of RNAcentral
GCCGCGACAGCUCAGGGGGGAGAGCGUCAGACUGAAGAUCUGAAGGGCCCUGUUUCGAUCCCGGGUCGCGGCA